This 29-nucleotide non-coding RNA is filed under the name Homo sapiens (human). The record is from RNAcentral. Lineage: Eukaryota; Metazoa; Chordata; Mammalia; Primates; Hominidae.
UCUGCUCGUAGUUGGCAUGGAUCCAUUGU